Molecule: ribosomal RNA, 405 nt
Filed under: Salmonella enterica subsp. enterica serovar Cubana
Lineage: Bacteria; Pseudomonadati; Pseudomonadota; Gammaproteobacteria; Enterobacterales; Enterobacteriaceae
Description: bacterial SSU rRNA
Rfam family: Bacterial small subunit ribosomal RNA
Source: RNAcentral
CAUGCAAGUCGAACGGUAACAGGAAGCAGCUUGCUGCUUUGCUGACGAGUGGCGGACGGGUGAGUAAUGUCUGGGAAACUGCCUGAUGGAGGGGGAUAACUACUGGAAACGGUGGCUAAUACCGCAUAACGUCGCAAGACCAAAGAGGGGGACCUUCGGGCCUCUUGCCAUCAGAUGUGCCCAGAUGGGAUUAGCUWGUUGGUGAGGUAACGGCUCACCAAGGCGACGAUCCCUAGCUGGUCUGAGAGGAUGACCAGCCACACUGGAACUGAGACACGGUCCAGACUCCUACGGGAGGCAGCAGUGGGGAAUAUUGCACAAUGGGCGCAAGCCUGAUGCAGCCAUGCCGCGUGUAUGAAGAAGGCCUUCGGGUUGUAAAGUACUUUCAGCGGGGAGGAAGGUGUU